AGGCUCGUAGCGAAGCAUGGAUAUCGCAGCUGCCUCCUAAGCAGAAGGUCGGGGGUUCAAAUCCCCUCGAGCCUG
This 75-nucleotide transfer RNA is filed under the name Promethearchaeota archaeon. RNAcentral's name for it is "Candidatus Lokiarchaeota archaeon (permafrost metagenome) tRNA-Arg". It matches the Rfam family "tRNA". Rfam says of the family: Transfer RNA (tRNA) molecules are approximately 80 nucleotides in length. Their secondary structure includes four short double-helical elements and three loops (D, anti-codon, and T loops). Lineage: Archaea; Promethearchaeati; Promethearchaeota. The record is from RNAcentral.